RNAcentral lists this unclassified non-coding RNA (708 nucleotides) under Hevea brasiliensis (rubber tree). The record is from RNAcentral. Lineage: Eukaryota; Viridiplantae; Streptophyta; Magnoliopsida; Malpighiales; Euphorbiaceae.
AGCCAUCAUCCUCUCCUUGCAUAGCAAUUCCUGGAUUCCAAGAAGGAUUGGUGCCAAAACCUCUCAGUGGAUAUGGAAUGGAACCAGCUUGAGGAACUUGUUGGAAAAUAGCGUCUCCAGAAGGGAAAUACAUAAACGGCUCCCCAGUUUCUGCAUCAUCCUCUAUCUGUUGCGAUAGAGCGCCAUUAAGACGGUAAUAAGAUGGCUGGUCAAAGGACGAACAUUGUGCAAGUAAUGACCCUCCAGCAACUCCUGGCUCAAAGAAUUCCCUGAGAACUGGAUCAUUGGCACAAUCAGAAUUCCUCGUAGAAGAUGCUUCCAAUAGAGUGAUUUCAAUCCCUUGACUAGCAUCAGAACCUGAAAAAUUCCCAUGACAAGCCACAGCCUGAGUGCAUCCCUCUGAAACAAGCUGGACUCCACUUUCUUUCUCAUUUUCAGGGAAACUAGAAUCCGGUUCAUCACUGCAAACACCAGAAGAGAUUGCCCGAGAAUGAUUUUCAAGAAGCUCAGAAAUUAACCUCUGGAUAAGAGUACGUUUCAGAGACGCCUCAGCAGAGGGAAACCAAUCCACAUUAAGAAAUUUGGAGCGCUCGUUUAUUUUGAAUGGGCUGAAAUUCAGAGGGGCCUCUGCCAAAAAUAGCUCCAGGUAGUGGAGUAGGAACAGACCACAAUCAAAUGAAUUUGCCUGCUGUGGCAACUCAAGUGGGA